Pelobates cultripes (western spadefoot toad) is the source of this 203-nucleotide non-coding RNA. The record is from the annotation of a GenBank genome assembly. NCBI's taxonomy places the organism in Eukaryota, Metazoa, Chordata, Amphibia, Anura, Pelobatidae.
GUCUCCCGGCUGAGCGCUAUUAGAUGUUGUGCUUGGUGGGUUUUCCUGAUAAACACACCCUUAGUCUUCAUCUAUACCUGACAUAGGAUACAUUGUAACCACUUUGAGCUCAAAGCACCAUUCUCUCUAUUUCCCCUCUCUCUCUCUCUUAAGCAAACAUAAUAAACAAAAGUAGUCACCCUUAAAGAUACAGAAACGCUUAG